RNAcentral lists this ribosomal RNA (253 nucleotides) under uncultured bacterium. Its description in RNAcentral is "partial 16S ribosomal RNA". It matches the Rfam family "Bacterial small subunit ribosomal RNA", at positions 524 to 776 of the family's 1533-position model. The record is from RNAcentral.
UACGUAGGGUGCGAGCGUUAAUCGGAAUUACUGGGCGUAAAGCGUGCGCAGGCGGUUCGUUGAGUUCGAUGUGAAAGCCCCGGGCUCAACCUGGGAAUUGCGGUUGAAACUGGCGAACUAGAAUCUGGCAGAGGGGGGUGGAAUUCCACGUGUAGCAGUGAAAUGCGUAGAGAUGUGGAGGAACACCGAUGGCGAAGGCAGCCCCCUGGGCUGAGAUUGACGCUCAGGCACGAAAGCGUGGGGAGCAAACAGG